This 492-nucleotide ribosomal RNA is filed under the name uncultured bacterium. RNAcentral's name for it is "partial 16S ribosomal RNA". It matches the Rfam family "Bacterial small subunit ribosomal RNA", at positions 29 to 507 of the family's 1533-position model. The record is from RNAcentral.
AGUGAACGCUGGCGGUAGGCCUAACACAUGCAAGUCGAACGGCAGCACAGUAAGAGCUUGCUCUUACGGGUGGCGAGUGGCGGACGGGUGAGGAAUACAUCGGAAUCUACUUUUUCGUGGGGGAUAACGUAGGGAAACUUACGCUAAUACCGCAUACGACCUACGGGUGAAAGCAGGGGAUCUUCGGACCUUGCGCGAUUGAAUGAGCCGAUGUCGGAUUAGCUAGUUGGCGGGGUAAAGGCCCACCAAGGCGACGAUCCGUAGCUGGUCUGAGAGGAUGAUCAGCCACACUGGAACUUAGACACGGUCCAUACUCCUACGGUAGGCAGCAGUGGGGAAUAUUGGACAAUGGGCGCAAGCCUUAUCCAGCCAUACCGCGUGAGUGAAGAAGGCCUUCGGUUUGUAAAGCCCUUUUGUUGGGAAAGAAAAGCAGCAGGUUAAUACCCCGCUGUUCUGACGGUACCCAAAGAAUAAGCACCGGCUAACUUCGUG